This 133-nucleotide long non-coding RNA is filed under the name Callithrix jacchus (white-tufted-ear marmoset). Its description in RNAcentral is "lncRNA (ENSCJAG00000071043.1)". Lineage: Eukaryota; Metazoa; Chordata; Mammalia; Primates; Cebidae. The record is from RNAcentral.
CAGUAUUUCUGAAGAGCCUUGCCUGGGAGCACGACCCUGCUGAUGGGCAGACAGUUAAGUGGAUGCUUCUGGAGCCUAUUCAGUGUGAAGACAACAAGGAUGGAGACAUUUAUAAUGAUCCAUUUCCACUUAG